Molecule: transfer RNA, 73 nt
Filed under: Immundisolibacter cernigliae
Lineage: Bacteria; Pseudomonadati; Pseudomonadota; Gammaproteobacteria; Immundisolibacterales; Immundisolibacteraceae
Rfam family: tRNA
About the family: Transfer RNA (tRNA) molecules are approximately 80 nucleotides in length. Their secondary structure includes four short double-helical elements and three loops (D, anti-codon, and T loops).
Source: Rfam by way of RNAcentral
GCCGGGGUAGCUCAGUCGGUAGAGCAACUGAUUCGUAAUCAGUAGGUCGGAGGUUCGAUUCCUCUCCUCGGCA